AGCAAAGUAAAUGACACGCGUUAAGUGCAUACAGAUGGGAAGUUGCUGUAUGACGAAGCGAAAGCGCGGUGUGUUAUUGCGUCCGUUGCG
RNAcentral lists this non-coding RNA (90 nucleotides) under Erysipelothrix rhusiopathiae. RNAcentral describes it as "THF-I sequence". It matches the Rfam family "THF (Tetrahydrofolate) riboswitch aptamer". From Rfam's summary of the family: THF riboswitch presents a pseudoknot that joins P1-P2 and the loop of P3 and two THF binding. The record is from RNAcentral. Lineage: Bacteria; Bacillati; Bacillota; Erysipelotrichia; Erysipelotrichales; Erysipelotrichaceae. RNAcentral also lists the same sequence under 3 other names.